Molecule: ribosomal RNA, 2930 nt
Filed under: Bacillus velezensis
Lineage: Bacteria; Bacillati; Bacillota; Bacilli; Caryophanales; Bacillaceae
Description: 23S ribosomal RNA
Rfam family: Bacterial large subunit ribosomal RNA
Source: RNAcentral
GGUUAAGUUAGAAAGGGCGCACGGUGGAUGCCUUGGCACUAGGAGCCGAUGAAGGACGGGACGAACACCGAUAUGCUUCGGGGAGCUGUAAGCAAGCUUUGAUCCGGAGAUUUCCGAAUGGGGAAACCCACCACUCGUAAUGGAGUGGUAUCCAUAUCUGAAUACAUAGGAUAUGAGAAGGCAGACCCGGGGAACUGAAACAUCUAAGUACCCGGAGGAAGAGAAAGCAAAUGCGAUUCCCUGAGUAGCGGCGAGCGAAACGGGACCAGCCCAAACCAAGAGGCUUGCCUCUUGGGGUUGUAGGACACUCUGUACGGAGUUACAAAGGAACGAGGUAGAUGAAGAGGUCUGGAAAGGCCCGCCAUAGGAGGUAACAGCCCUGUAGUCAAAACUUCGUUCUCUCCUGAGUGGAUCCUGAGUACGGCGGAACACGUGAAAUUCCGUCGGAAUCCGGGAGGACCAUCUCCCAAGGCUAAAUACUCCCUAGUGACCGAUAGUGAACCAGUACCGUGAGGGAAAGGUGAAAAGCACCCCGGAAGGGGAGUGAAAGAGAUCCUGAAACCGUGUGCCUACAAGUAGUCAGAGCCCGUUAACGGGUGAUGGCGUGCCUUUUGUAGAAUGAACCGGCGAGUUACGAUCCCGUGCAAGGUUAAGCAGAAGAUGCGGAGCCGCAGCGAAAGCGAGUCUGAAUAGGGCGAAUUGAGUACGUGGUCGUAGACCCGAAACCAGGUGAUCUACCCAUGUCCAGGGUGAAGUUCAGGUAACACUGAAUGGAGGCCCGAACCCACGCACGUUGAAAAGUGCGGGGAUGAGGUGUGGGUAGGGGUGAAAUGCCAAUCGAACCUGGAGAUAGCUGGUUCUCUCCGAAAUAGCUUUAGGGCUAGCCUCAAGGUAAGAGUCUCGGAGGUAGAGCACUGAUUGGACUAGGGGCCCCUACCGGGUUACCGAAUUCAGUCAAACUCCGAAUGCCGAUGACUUAUCCUUGGGAGUCAGACUGCGAGUGAUAAGAUCCGUAGUCGAAAGGGAAACAGCCCAGACCGCCAGCUAAGGUCCCAAAGUAUACGUUAAGUGGAAAAGGAUGUGGAGUUGCUUAGACAACCAGGAUGUUGGCUUAGAAGCAGCCACCAUUUAAAGAGUGCGUAAUAGCUCACUGGUCGAGUGACUCUGCGCCGAAAAUGUACCGGGGCUAAACGUAUCACCGAAGCUGCGGACUGUUCUUCGAACAGUGGUAGGAGAGCGUUCUAAGGGCUGUGAAGCAAGACCGGAAGGACUUGUGGAGCGCUUAGAAGUGAGAAUGCCGGUAUGAGUAGCGAAAGAGGGGUGAGAAUCCCCUCCACCGAAUGCCUAAGGUUUCCUGAGGAAGGCUCGUCCGCUCAGGGUUAGUCGGGACCUAAGCCGAGGCCGAAAGGCGUAGGCGAUGGAUAACAGGUUGAUAUUCCUGUACCACCUCCUCACCAUUUUAGCAAUGGGGGGACGCAGGAGGAUAGGGUAAGCGCGGUAUUGGAUAUCCGCGUCCAAGCAGUUAGGCUGGGAAAUAGGCAAAUCCGUUUCCCGUGAAGGCUGAGCUGUGAUGGCGAGCGAAUUAUAGUAGCGAAGUUCCUGAUUCCACACUGCCAAGAAAAGCCUCUAGCGAGGUGAGAGGUGCCCGUACCGCAAACCGACACAGGUAGGCGAGGAGAGAAUCCUAAGGUGAUCGAGAGAACUCUCGUUAAGGAACUCGGCAAAAUGACCCCGUAACUUCGGGAGAAGGGGUGCUCUGUUAGGGUGCAAGCCCGAGAGAGCCGCAGUGAAUAGGCCCAGGCGACUGUUUAGCAAAAACACAGGUCUCUGCGAAGCCGUAAGGCGAAGUAUAGGGGCUGACGCCUGCCCGGUGCUGGAAGGUUAAGAGGAGCGCUUAGCGUAAGCGAAGGUGCGAAUUGAAGCCCCAGUAAACGGCGGCCGUAACUAUAACGGUCCUAAGGUAGCGAAAUUCCUUGUCGGGUAAGUUCCGACCCGCACGAAAGGCGCAACGAUCUGGGCACUGUCUCAACGAGAGACUCGGUGAAAUUAUAGUACCUGUGAAGAUGCAGGUUACCCGCGACAGGACGGAAAGACCCCGUGGAGCUUUACUGCAGCCUGAUAUUGAAUGUUGGUACAGCUUGUACAGGAUAGGUAGGAGCCUUGGAAACCGGAGCGCCAGCUUCGGUGGAGGCAUCGGUGGGAUACUACCCUGGCUGUAUUGACCUUCUAACCCGCCGCCCUUAUCGGGCGGGGAGACAGUGUCAGGUGGGCAGUUUGACUGGGGCGGUCGCCUCCUAAAAGGUAACGGAGGCGCCCAAAGGUUCCCUCAGAAUGGUUGGAAAUCAUUCGCAGAGUGUAAAGGCACAAGGGAGCUUGACUGCGAGACCUACAAGUCGAGCAGGGACGAAAGUCGGGCUUAGUGAUCCGGUGGUUCCGCAUGGAAGGGCCAUCGCUCAACGGAUAAAAGCUACCCCGGGGAUAACAGGCUUAUCUCCCCCAAGAGUCCACAUCGACGGGGAGGUUUGGCACCUCGAUGUCGGCUCAUCGCAUCCUGGGGCUGUAGUCGGUCCCAAGGGUUGGGCUGUUCGCCCAUUAAAGCGGUACGCGAGCUGGGUUCAGAACGUCGUGAGACAGUUCGGUCCCUAUCCGUCGCGGGCGCAGGAAAUUUGAGAGGAGCUGUCCUUAGUACGAGAGGACCGGGAUGGACGCACCGCUGGUGUACCAGUUGUUCUGCCAAGGGCAUCGCUGGGUAGCUAUGUGCGGACGGGAUAAGUGCUGAAAGCAUCUAAGCAUGAAGCCCCCCUCAAGAUGAGAUUUCCCAUUCCGCAAGGAAGUAAGAUCCCUGAAAGAUGAUCAGGUUGAUAGGUCUGAGGUGGAAGUGUGGCGACACAUGGAGCUGACAGAUACUAAUCGAUCGAGGACUUAACCAA